This 424-nucleotide ribosomal RNA is filed under the name uncultured bacterium. RNAcentral describes it as "partial 16S ribosomal RNA". It matches the Rfam family "Bacterial small subunit ribosomal RNA", at positions 359 to 774 of the family's 1533-position model. The record is from RNAcentral.
GAAUAUUGGACAAUGGGGGGCACCCUGAUUCCGCCAUGCCGCGUGCGUGAAGAAGGCAUUUUGGUUGUUAAGCACUUUAAGCGAGGAGGAGGACACUCUAGCUAUUACCUCGGGCUAGUGGACGUUACUCGCAGUAUCAGCACCGGCGAAGUCUGUGCCAGCAUCCGCGGUAACACAGAGGGUGCAAGCGUUAAUCGGAUUUAAUGGGCGUAAAGCGCGCGUAGGUUGCCAAGUAAGUCAAGUGUGAAGUCCCCGAGCUUAACUUGGGAAUUGCAUUCGAUACUGGUUGGCUAGAGUAUGGGAGAGGAUGGUAGAAUUCCAGGUGUAGCGGUGAAAUGCGUAGAGAUCUGGAGGAAUACCGAUGGCGAAGGCAGCCAUCUGGCCUAAUACUGACACUGAGGUGCGAAAGCAUGGGGAGCAAACA